Molecule: ribosomal RNA, 253 nt
Filed under: uncultured bacterium
Lineage: Bacteria
Description: partial 16S ribosomal RNA
Rfam family: Bacterial small subunit ribosomal RNA
Source: RNAcentral
UACGUAGGGCGCAAGCGUUGUCCGGAAUUAUUGGGCGUAAAGAGCUCGUGGGCGGCCAGUUGCGUCUGCUGUGAAAUCCCACGGCUCAACCGUGGAACUGCUGGGUAUACUGGUUGUCUUGAGCCAGCUAGGGGCGAGCGGAACAGACGGUGGAGCGGUGAAAUGCGUAGAUAUCGUCUGGAACGCCGAAGGUGAAAACAGCUCGCUGGGGCUGCGCUGACGCUGAGACACGAAAGCCAGGGGAGCGAACGGG